RNAcentral lists this small nucleolar RNA (101 nucleotides) under Neogale vison (American mink). Its description in RNAcentral is "Neovison vison (American mink) Small nucleolar RNA SNORA31 (ENSNVIG00000015515.1)". The record is from RNAcentral. Lineage: Eukaryota; Metazoa; Chordata; Mammalia; Carnivora; Mustelidae.
UUGCUGCUAAGGCUUCCACUAGAGAUGCAAGAAAAAAAAAAAUCCUCGUGCUUUCUGUCUGUCUCACUGUGGCAGUCAAGAUUAAACAGGAGAGUACAGGC